CAUGCAAGUCGAACGGAAACCUUCGGGUUUUAGUGGCGAACGGGUGAGUAACACGUAAGCAACCUGCCCUUAAGACGAGGAUAACAAUUGGAAACAAUUGCUAAGACUGGAUAGGAAAAGUAAAGGCAUCUUUACUUUUUUAAAAGAUCUUCUUUGAAGGUAUGCUUAAGGAGGGGCUUGCGACACAUUAGUUAGUUGGCAGGGUAAAGGCCUACCAAGACUAUGAUGUGUAGCUGGACUGAGAGGUUGAACAGCCACAUUGGGACUGAGACACGGCCCAAACUCCUACGGGAGGCAGCAGUAGGGAAUUUUCGGCAAUGGAGGAAACUCUGACCGAGCAACGCCGCGUGAACGAUGAAGUACCUCGGUAUGUAAAGUUCUUUUAUUAAGGAAGAAAAAAGAGUGGAAAAACUCCCUCGACGGUACUUAAUGAAUAAGCCCCGGCUAAUUAUGUGCCAGCAGCCGCGGUAAUACAUAAGGGGCGAGCGUUAUCCGGAAUUAUUGGGCGUAAAGGGUGCGUAGGCGGUUUAAUAAGUCUAUAGUUUAAUUUCAGUGCUUAACGCUGUUGUGCUAUAGAAACUGUUUUACUAGAAUGAGAUAGAGGCAAGCGGAAUUCCAUGUGUAGCGGUAAAAUGCGUAAAUAUAUGGAGGAACACCAGAGGCGUAGGCGGCUUGCUGGGUCUUUACUGACGCUGAGGCACGAAAGCGUGGGGAGCAAACAGGAUUAGAUACCCUGGUAGUCCACGCCGUAAACGAUGAGUACUAAGUGUCGGGUAAAACUGGUACUGAAGUUAACACAUUAAGUACUCCGCCUGAGUAGUACGUACGCAAGUAUGAAACUUAAAGGAAUUGACGGGACUCCGCACAAGCGGUGGAUCAUGUUGUUUAAUUCGAAGAUACACGAAAAACCUUACCAGGUCUUGACAUUUUCUUGUGAAAUUAUAGAAAUAUAAUGGAGGUUAUCAGGAAAACAGGUGGUGCAUGGUUGUCGUCAGCUCGUGUCGUGAGAUGUUAGGUUAAGUCCUAAAACGAGCGCAACCCUUGUCGUUAAUUGCCAGCAUGUAAUGAUGGGGACUUUAACGAGACUGCCAAUGAAAAAUUGGAGGAAGGUGGGGAUUACGUCAAAUCAUCAUGCCCCUUAUGAUCUGGGCUACAAACGUGAUACAAUGGUUGAUACAAAGAGUAGCUGAAACGCGAGUUCUUAGCCAAUCUCAAAAAAUCAAUCUCAGUUCGGAUUGAAGUCUGCAACUCGACUUCAUGAAGUUGGAAUCGCUAGUAAUCGCGAAUCAGCAUGUCGCGGUGAAUACGUUCUCGGGGUUUGUACACACCGCCCGUCAAACCACGAACGUUGGCAAUGCCCCAAAGCGGUCACCUAACUUCGCAAGAAGAAGGAUCCGUCUAAGGUAGGGUCGAUGAUUGGGGUUAAG
This 1427-nucleotide ribosomal RNA is filed under the name Poinsettia flower distortion phytoplasma. RNAcentral describes it as "16S ribosomal RNA". It matches the Rfam family "Bacterial small subunit ribosomal RNA". Lineage: Bacteria; Bacillati; Mycoplasmatota; Mollicutes; Acholeplasmatales; Acholeplasmataceae. The record is from RNAcentral.